Molecule: non-coding RNA, 973 nt
Organism: Sebastes umbrosus (honeycomb rockfish)
Lineage: Eukaryota; Metazoa; Chordata; Actinopteri; Perciformes; Sebastidae
Source: the annotation of a RefSeq genome assembly
AACACUGCAAAGCCUUUACUGAGGCAAUUUACAGUAUUUUUUUUUACACCAGCAGGGGGUGACAAACCUCAACAAAUGAAAGGAAGAUAUCAAACCACACUUCCAUUGACUCCUAGAAGCAAGAUAACACUAUUCCCUCCCUGCUGAUGAAGUUAAAGCUGUGAUGUAGACACUGCUCUGACACCUCCCCUCUUCAUUAAACUGUAACAGACUCUCGUCCACAGGUGCUGAGCUGAAACGACUGGAUAGAAAAGCUGAUAGAGUGUCAAAUCUUCACUUCUUCAACAUGAUAUUUAUGGUCUUUGUAUUUUGUUUUCUUCAUCUGCUGAGAAAUACUGCUGCCUCUCUCAGUGGAAGUGUCCUCCAAACACCUCCUUUCAUCAUUAAGAGAACUAAUGAAUCUGUUGCCAGUGAGAUCAACUGUUCACACAACAUAACAAAUUAUGAUCUUAUUCUGUGGUACAAACAAGAUGAACGCAAAGCUCUGAAGCUUCUGGGAUAUCUGAAUGUGAACUACCCGUACCCCGAGGACGACGUGAAAGGAAAAAUCAGCUUCGACGGAAAUGGCCGUGAACAUUCAAGCCUCAAUAUUUCUGAUCUUUCAUUAAGUGACAGCGGUGUGUAUUUCUGUGCUGCCAGUCAGCACAGUGCUGCAGAUUCCCCUCACGUCAAUACAAAAACUCUGCUUUAUCUGUCUGCGGAGAGACAACGUGUUGAGACUCCUGAACACCUGCAGACAGCCUCCAUCUACACUGAGCCUUUCAAGAUUUUAUCAACUGUUUUGACACAUGUUGACCUCAUCUGACACUACAGUGACUUUGUAUGAAAAUAAAUUAAAUAAAGAUUGUUUUAGCAAUUACUCUAAUAUGGUUGUGAACUUUUCUCAUUAGCUACAGGAAAUUAAUUUGAAGGGAUAGUUCUGGUGUUUUGAAGUGGGGUUGUACGAGGUACUACCAUAGUCAGAUACAGUAGA